GCCAGUAGGGUGUAAGUGCCUGUUACUGGGGCCUUCAGGAUGAGCUUCCUGUGAUGGUAGGAGGAGGAAGCUAGAAUAAGGCCAACAGCAACAGCCUUUGGAGAAGGACGGAGCUGGGAUCCCGAAUCCCGAGGCUAGGCACAGGCACACAGCUGGCGACGUCAAGGACACUGGCCAGAACCCAUUGGUACAGGUGGACUAAGGCAGCCAGUGAUGACGAUCUUGUUCCCCGAGUGGAUUUCUCGGAUUACAGGAAAGGACAAGAAGAGAACUUGAACCAGAGUCUCCGAAGUUUUGGAUGCCCCGCCCUGCACCACAGCGCCCCCUUCUGGCCAGAGGGGAAACUUCCGGCGGAGGCCCAGCUGCACGGAGCUCGGAGCCUGAUGGAGGCAGCAGGUGGAUCCUGACCAUGGAGACAGAGACCUGUGCGUCUGAAUCUCUGGACACCAUUCGGCCCCCAGGCGGCUGCUCCCUGUGCGUCUCUGUGUUUUCUACAGGUCGGUGCCCCUGCAGAAUACUUCUGCUCCUUUUCCAACAGGUAACGUGGAGAAUGCAGAAAAACAGAGAAGCAAAAAUAAAACUCACCUGCAAGCCAGCCCCCAAGAUAUAAAUCGCAUUCGUGUUUGCAGCACCUCCUUCUGAAUUUUGAGUAUAUCGUUGGAUUUAUACUUGACUGUAACAUUACAUUCUAUUUUGUUGCUUGACGUUGCAUUACGGGUGUGUUAUGGAAUGUCUUCCAAACACUCUUUUUAAUGGGCUUAUCUCAGUCUGGCCUGUGGCUGGUCAUCCAUCUAUAAUUUCUAUAGCCGUUCUCCCUUGCUGGACAUUGGAUUGUUUUGAAGUUUACUCUUUUGAAAAAGGAACAAGGAAAAGCUUGUACGUGAAUCUUUUCCUUGGGGUGGAGUCCUGACAGUGAAAUCACCAGGCAAAGGAUCCAAAAAGGUUUUUUUUUUUUUAGGAAGAUUAACCCUGAGCUGACAUCUGCCAAUCCUCCUCUUUUUGCUGA
This is a non-coding RNA of Equus caballus (horse), 1006 nucleotides long. NCBI's taxonomy places the organism in Eukaryota, Metazoa, Chordata, Mammalia, Perissodactyla, Equidae. The record is from RefSeq and is a predicted model, not a curated record.